RNAcentral lists this ribosomal RNA (439 nucleotides) under uncultured Acholeplasma sp. Its description in RNAcentral is "bacterial SSU rRNA". It matches the Rfam family "Bacterial small subunit ribosomal RNA", at positions 338 to 776 of the family's 1533-position model. The record is from RNAcentral. Lineage: Bacteria; Bacillati; Mycoplasmatota; Mollicutes; Acholeplasmatales; Acholeplasmataceae.
CCUACGGGAGGCAGCAGUAGGGAAUUUUCGGCAAUGGGGGCAACCCUGACCGAGCAACGCCGCGUGAACGACGAAGUACUUCGGUAUGUAAAGUUCUUUUAUCAGGGAAGAAUGGCUUACGGAAAAGUGAGCGUGACGGUACCUGAUGAAUAAGCCCCGGCUAACUAUGUGCCAGCAGCCGCGGUAAUACAUAGGGGGCAAGCGUUAUCCGGAAUUAUUGGGCGUAAAGGGUGCGUAGGUGGCCGUUUAAGUCUUUGGUGUAAGUGCAAGGCUCAACCUUGUGAUGCUAAAGAAACUGGAUGGCUUGAGUGUGGUAGAGGCAAGUGGAAUUCCAUGUGUAGCGGUAAAAUGCGUAAAUAUAUGGAGGAACACCGGUGGCGAAGGCGGCUUGCUGGGCCACAACUGACACUGAGGCACGAAAGCGUGGGGAGCAAACAGG